GUGAACGCUGGCGGUAGGCCUAACACAUGCAAGUCGAACGGCAGCACAGUAAGAGCUUGCUCUUACGGGUGGCGAGUGGCGGACGGGUGAGGAAUACAUCGGAAUCUACUUUUUCGUGGGGGAUAACGUAGGGAAACUUACGCUAAUACCGCAUACGACCUACGGGUGAAAGCAGGGGAUCCUCGGACCUUGCGCGAUUGAAUGAGCCGAUGUCGGAUUAGCUAGUUGGCGGGGUAAAGGCCCACCAAGGCGACGAUCCGUAGCUGGUCUGAGAGGAUGAUCAGCCACACUGGAACUGAGACACGGUCCAGACUCCUACGGGAGGCAGCAGUGGGGAAUAUUGGACAAUGGGCGCAAGCCUGAUCCAGCCAUACCGCGUGGGUGAAGAAGGCCUUCGGGUUGUAAAGCCCUUUUGUUGGGAAAGAAAAGCAGCAGGUUAAUACCCCGCUGUUCUGACGGUACCCAAAGAAUAAGCACCGGCUAACUUCGU
RNAcentral lists this ribosomal RNA (490 nucleotides) under uncultured bacterium. Its description in RNAcentral is "partial 16S ribosomal RNA". It matches the Rfam family "Bacterial small subunit ribosomal RNA", at positions 29 to 506 of the family's 1533-position model. The record is from RNAcentral.